ACCUCCUACAAAGUUGUGUCUGUGGUUUCCUGGUCUUGGACACAUAAGAAAUGGAGGCAAAGAAAUGUGGACUUGGAGAAGUCUGGAACCAGCUUGCUCCCUACAAGCUCAAGAUCAACUCAGGUGAGUUCAAUGAAC
Molecule: small nucleolar RNA, 138 nt
Filed under: Dasypus novemcinctus (nine-banded armadillo)
Lineage: Eukaryota; Metazoa; Chordata; Mammalia; Cingulata; Dasypodidae
Description: Small nucleolar RNA SNORA38 (ENSDNOG00000047435.1)
Rfam family: Small nucleolar RNA SNORA38
About the family: ACA38 is a member of the H/ACA class of snoRNA that guide the sites of modification of uridines to pseudouridines.
Source: RNAcentral